UUGUCCCUGGCUCAGGACGAACGCUGGCGGCGUGCCUAAUACAUGCAAGUCGAGCGAAUCAAUAGGAGCUUGCUCCUGUUGGUUAGCGGCGGACGGGUGAGUAACACGUGGGCAACCUGCCUGUAAGACUGGGAUAACACCGGGAAACCGGUGCUAAUACCGGAUAAUCCUUUUCCUCUCAUGAGGAAAAGCUGAAAGUCGGUUUCGGCUGACACUUACAGAUGGGCCCGCGGCGCAUUAGCUAGUUGGUGAGGUAACGGCUCACCAAGGCGACGAUGCGUAGCCGACCUGAGAGGGUGAUCGGCCACACUGGGACUGAGACACGGCCCAGACUCCUACGGGAGGCAGCAGUAGGGAAUCUUCCACAAUGGACGAAAGUCUGAUGGAGCAACGCCGCGUGAGCGAUGAAGGCCUUCGGGUCGUAAAGCUCUGUUGUUAGGGAAGAACAAGUACCGGAGUAACUGCCGGUACCUUGACGGUACCUAACCAGAAAGCCACGGCUAA
This 504-nucleotide ribosomal RNA is filed under the name Bacillaceae bacterium CL7.72. Its description in RNAcentral is "bacterial SSU rRNA". It matches the Rfam family "Bacterial small subunit ribosomal RNA", at positions 13 to 500 of the family's 1533-position model. The record is from RNAcentral. Lineage: Bacteria; Bacillati; Bacillota; Bacilli; Caryophanales; Bacillaceae.